RNAcentral lists this ribosomal RNA (253 nucleotides) under uncultured bacterium. RNAcentral describes it as "partial 16S ribosomal RNA". It matches the Rfam family "Bacterial small subunit ribosomal RNA", at positions 524 to 776 of the family's 1533-position model. The record is from RNAcentral.
GACGAACCGUGCGACCGUUGUUCGGAAUCACUGGGCUUAAAGGGCGCGUAGGCGGCUUCGCAAGUCCGGGGUGAAAGCCCCCAGCUUAACUGGGGAAGUGCCUCGGAUACUGCGGAGCUCGAGGGAGGUAGGGGCGGAUGGAACUUCCGGUGGAGCGGUGAAAUGCGUUGAUAUCGGAAGGAACGCCGGUGGCGAAAGCGAUCCGCUGGCCCUCUACUGACGCUGAGGCGCGAAAGCCAGGGGAGCAAACGGG